GCGGACAACUCGAUUUCUCUGCUCUCAGACUACCUUUUAUUUGUCAUAUGUCUCAAUAUCAACCGACCUAAAAUAAUAAUAAUGUAAGGAGAUAUUACAGUCUAUACAUUGCACUCGUUUAUAUCCCGCUUGUCAUCUUCUAAGGUCAACUCUUUUUAAAGCUGCAGCCUUCGUAGUAUUAAACGAUUACUCGGAACAUUGCUAAAACCAUAUAUGCAGUCGAUGGACGAUCAAAUUCCCGAUUCAUCUGACGAGUUCACCCAUAAUGUUAAUAACGAAAAUUAUACAAUACACAAUUGAACUUGGAAAUCACUAUUAAUUUACACAUCAAUCAUAAAUUCAAAACUUAAAUUAAGCCAAAGU
Myzus persicae (green peach aphid) is the source of this 363-nucleotide long non-coding RNA. RefSeq lists it as uncharacterized. The transcript is spliced from 3 exons. The record is from RefSeq and is a predicted model, not a curated record. NCBI's taxonomy places the organism in Eukaryota, Metazoa, Arthropoda, Insecta, Hemiptera, Aphididae.